This 418-nucleotide ribosomal RNA is filed under the name Pseudomonas sp. AE_148. RNAcentral describes it as "bacterial SSU rRNA". It matches the Rfam family "Bacterial small subunit ribosomal RNA", at positions 19 to 439 of the family's 1533-position model. Lineage: Bacteria; Pseudomonadati; Pseudomonadota; Gammaproteobacteria; Pseudomonadales; Pseudomonadaceae. The record is from RNAcentral.
UCGGCUCAGAUUGAACGCUGGCGGCAGGCCUAACACAUGCAAGUCGAGCGGAUGACGGGAGCUUGCUCCUUGAUUCAGCGGCGGACGGGUGAGUAAUGCCUAGGAAUCUGCCUGGUAGUGGGGGACAACGUUUCGAAAGGAACGCUAAUACCGCAUACGUCCUACGGGAGAAAGCAGGGGACCUUCGGGCCUUGCGCUAUCAGAUGAGCCUAGGUCGGAUUAGCUAGUUGGUGGGGUAAUGGCUCACCAAGGCGACGAUCCGUAACUGGUCUGAGAGGAUGAUCAGUCACACUGGAACUGAGACACGGUCCAGACUCUUACGGGAGGCAGCAGUGGGGAAUAUUGGACAAUGGGCGAAAGCCUGAUCCAGCCAUGCCGCGUGUGUGAAGAAGGUCUUCGGAUUGUAAAGCACUUUAAG